UUACCCUACGGGAGGCAGCAGUGGGGGAUAUUGCACAAUGGAGGAAACUCUGAUGCAGCGACGCCGCGUGAGGGAAGACGGUCUUCGGAUUGUAAACCUCUGUCUUUGGAGAAGAAAAUGACGGUACCCAAAGAGGAAGCUCCGGCUAACUACGUGCCAGCAGCCGCGGUAAUACGUAGGUGGCAAGCGUUGUCCGGAUUUACUGGGUGUAAAGGGCGUGUAGCCGGGCUGACAAGUCAGAUGUGAAAUUCCGGGGCCCAACCCCGGACCUGCAUUUGAAACUGUUGGUCUUGAGUAUCGGAGAG
This 305-nucleotide ribosomal RNA is filed under the name uncultured bacterium. Its description in RNAcentral is "bacterial SSU rRNA". It matches the Rfam family "Bacterial small subunit ribosomal RNA", at positions 333 to 656 of the family's 1533-position model. The record is from RNAcentral.